AUACCACCGCAAAGUACUGUGGGAAGUCACGAGUGAUGAUGCGGCAGAUUCGUUUCUUUUCCAGGUCUUCCGGACUGUCCAGCACUGAGACAAGAAAUGACCCAUCUUCAUAGAGCAAGUGACUCCUGAGAACAUUCUAGCAGACUCACCGGCACAGUUAAUAGUGAACAGGGAGGGCAGCAAAGCCCCAUUUCAGUUAAAGUUAAAAUACAAGGCUAUCCUGACACCAAACAGGCUCAGAAGGAGAUAAAGAAGGAGCUGUGGGCAGGCUGCUCUUCACAGAUCAACUUGACUCUGGGCUGGGCUUUGCCUUCCUCUGUCUAGCCCUGUACAAACUUGGCACACUCCUGACAACGAGAUACAGGAUAUAUCUACAGAGAAAGGCCAGUUAUUGAUUGACCCAGUCCUUCUCUGCCAGGAGCAUAUUUAAAACAUGAAGUAGAAGGAGAGUAAACUAUCACUAAUGAUCAGUACAAAAAGCUGCAGCUCGAAGAUGCUGAUGGUUCAUUAUUACCAGUAAUCAACCACAAUGAGCGUUAGGGCAUAUGAAAAAGCUGUCCAGAAAGCAGAUGCAAAGGCAGAAAGUCAUAUACCUGGUGGCUGGGGAUCACAACCGCGUCAUCAAUCAUGGCACUGUCCCUCGGGUACGAUGCGUGGCUCAGAGUGUGAGACCUGUCGGAACUGAAGGACCGGAGGCUGAGUGUCAGUGUCCUCCCCUGGAAGGUACAGAAUGAAAUGAACUGUGGCCAAAUGCGUGCAUCCUGUGGAAGUGGAGCUCCUCCUGUUUACCUCGGGUUCCCUUGUCUGAAAUGGUAUUCCUAAAUGACCCCUGCUAUGUCCCAUUUACCACACAUGGAAUAUACUGUGUUGAAGAGUGUCUUCAAUGUCUCCAUCUCCUCCAAGAAUGCUGCACCAGGAUUAUUCUAUUUUAGUGCCCUUGUGUAACAUGAUAGCUGUCACAAAGGAAAGACUCACCCUCUUCAUCAGAGACAUCAAGAACCUCCGUCAUCGUCUCAGGAACAUUUAGCUUAUGUUUUUCCGUGAUCGUCUAAAACGAAAGAAAUCCGUCAUUGCAAAGUUAAAAACAAAGCCAGACAAAAAAAUGAACAGAGCCACAGAGGUGACCCCAUCUACAGCAGCAGCAAGCCAUCAGACCUCAAAGAGCCCAUCUCAUCCACACAGGCAUUUAGAAACUUACUCUCUUUUGUGAAAACUCCUUUGUAUUCUCCAAAGAUAAAAAUGGCCAAUGAUUCCAGCAACAUUGUACAAGAGAAGAUUCAUUACUGUUCGUUCCCAUUUGAAAAAUUGAGCCUUUAGUAACGGUGCUUGUAAUUCGUCAUACUGUAAAACCAAACUAAUGGCUUCAAGAAAUCCCUAAGAUGAACCAAGUGAAG
Long non-coding RNA from Mastomys coucha (southern multimammate mouse), 1394 nucleotides. RefSeq lists it as uncharacterized. The record is from RefSeq and is a predicted model, not a curated record. NCBI's taxonomy places the organism in Eukaryota, Metazoa, Chordata, Mammalia, Rodentia, Muridae. The transcript is spliced from 8 exons.